This is a long non-coding RNA of Chelonia mydas (Green sea turtle), 103 nucleotides long. RefSeq lists it as uncharacterized. The record is from RefSeq and is a predicted model, not a curated record. Lineage: Eukaryota; Metazoa; Chordata; Testudines; Cheloniidae. The transcript is spliced from 3 exons.
AGGUGUAAGGUUCUCCAAUAUCUGGAAGCUGAAGCUAGAGAAAUUUAUACAAGAAAUAAGGUGCACGUUUUUAACAAUGAGGUUAAUUAAUCAUUGGAACAAC